This 494-nucleotide ribosomal RNA is filed under the name uncultured bacterium. RNAcentral's name for it is "partial 16S ribosomal RNA". It matches the Rfam family "Bacterial small subunit ribosomal RNA", at positions 28 to 504 of the family's 1533-position model. The record is from RNAcentral.
GAUGAACGCUGGCGGCGUGCCUAAUACAUGCAAGUCGAGCGAACAGACGAGGAGCUUGCUCCUUUGACGUUAGCGGCGGACGGGUGAGUAACACGUGGGUAACCUACCUAUAAGACUGGGAUAACUUCGGGAAACCGGAGCUAAUACCGGAUAAUAUUUCGAACCGCAUGGUUCGAUAGUGAAAGAUGGCUUUGCUAUCACUUAUAGAUGGACCUGCGCCGUAUUAGCUAGUUGGUAAGGUAACGGCUUACCAAGGCAACGAUACGUAGCCGACCUGAGAGGGUGAUCGGCCACACUGGAACUGAGACACGGUCCAGACUCCUACGGGAGGCAGCAGUAGGGAACCGUCCGCAAUGGGCGAAAGCCUGACGGAGCAACGCCGCGUGAGUGAUGAAGGUCUUCGGAUCGUAAAACUCUGUUAUUAGGGAAGAACAAACGUGUAAGUAACUGUGCACGUCUUGACGGUACCUAAUCAGAAAGCCACGGCUAACUAC